UAGUCUCUUUGUCCAUGAAUACCGGCACUGACUGAAAGAAUGCUUUGAAGAAAUUCCUCAAAGGUAAAAGAGAUGAGAGAAAAUGUGUGCAGAAACCUACGGACCAUUGGAGCUUCAACAUGCUUCCACUGUCUUGUAAUUAUUCCAUCUACAGCAUAUAUCCUUCAGGGUCACCAUGGCAGAUAGAGGUGGACAGAAGAAAUUUUUAUUCAUCACUCAUGUGGCUUUUGCUGAAGACCAUUGGCCUGAUUAGUCCUUACGUCCUUGUUCUAACAACCAAGUAUCCUGAGAUGUGUGCAUGGGCAACAGCUGUUAGAAAGAUGGUUUUUGGCUGCAUUGCUGUUAUUCUCAGUAUUCCUUGUUUCUGUGCUACGGCACAGCCUCUUAUUUGGAAGGAGGUGACUUAGCGGUUAAUGCAUUUGGAAGUGGUAUCUGAGCUUAUUCACACAAGCUGUUCAUUUGGGAGUCUUUCGAGUAGCCCUGAAAGCAAAAGACAUAGCAUGAAUUGUGAUUCCGUGCUGGAAGCCUCUCAGAGAAGGAGACCCCACCACCACUAGCAGGUGGGAAACACAUUUGUUUGAACUGCCUUGGAGAAUGGUUCAACAAAUUGCUCAUAAUUUGAAGUUUGGGGGCCUUAGGAAAGCCAUUACUGCUGUUCUCUGGAAUCUUGACCCUUAGCAGGGUUUCUCUACUGAGGUAGUGACAGUCUUGUCUCUAUCUUCCUAACUUGAGUGUCCUUUUCUCCAUUGGUUCAAAACACAGGCAGGGACCAAGAGUUUGUUAACAGACCUGUAGCCAUACAUUAGUGUGUUAGGUCCCAACAAACUGUCAGUGAGUCAACAAACUGUCAGUGAGUCGACAAACUCAGAGAAAACAUGGAAAGUUAUUGAGUCCAAUUUACACUUUCAAAAACAGUGAAUAAAAUCAAGACGAGUGAUCUGAUUAAUGAAAAAAAAAAAAAACAAAACGCUGUUUUGGCAGCAGACUUCCAAUUCCUUACUGUGGCCAGUCUGUGUAACUAAUAGCUUGCUACUAGUAGCAUGCUCUGAUACAGGAAAGCAUCACCUAUUACUGGCAUUUUUCCUCGGUCAUUCAGAUUUUUCCCCCCAAGGAGGUAUAAAAGCUUUAAAAAGAUGAGAAGAAAGGGGAGGAAGAAGAAAAGAGGAGAGGAAUGGAGAGACCACAUUGAAAGACCUCUGAAGAAAUAACCUUCACUUGUUUUCAAGCAUGUGGGGGGUCACUGCCUUGCUUGUCUCCACUCCUACCUUACAAUCUACAGAAUACCUUGGGGUGAAUCAUUCUCCAUCUGAACCGAUUAUUCCCACAGUAGCCUUCUUUUUUCUUCCCGCAACCAUAAAAAUCCAGCAGCUUGUUAAUCAUACAACUAUUUAACAGAGUCCCUCCCUAGUCCUACAACUGAGCUCCAAGCCCAUAAUGUAUAAUCUACCCACCCACACAUAUUGAAAUGAGAUUAUUGUUCCCACAGAAAAGCACCCCGUCAUUGCACAAGUCCCAACUUUGUUCCAGAGGGUGAUAAAAGGGAGGAGGAAAAGGCCAGGAGUUGUUUGAUAGGCUUCUGAGGAAGGCACGACAAGGAUGAAAAGAUUAGCCUCCCAGGUACAGUCUGAAACAGCAUGUAGGCAAACAGUCUCCUGAGCACACUCCCUAGGCCUUUGAUGUAGGUGCCAUCAUGAAUUCCUGAUAGUUAAAGGAGUGGCAGAAUUGGAUGCACUUAUCUCCAACAAAAGGGCAUAGCUUCCAGGUAGGAAAAGCUCCACAGAAUACAGACACAGUCGGGAAUCCAGACUAGGGAGUAGCUAGUCACAGCACCACAGCAGAGCUGAGGUCAUGUGGACAGAUCUGGAUCCAGUCUCUAACUUGCUGUUUGAUAGUUGGGUAAAUGAAAAACACAAUGACCAAUGGAGUCCCAGCUAUUUGUCAAGAGAUAGGUUACUGGUAGCCAUAAACUAUCCUCAGUAAACAUCAUCACUUGUCCUGAGUGAGACCUUUCCUCAUCUAGCACUGUGAUGAUCUAGAAAGUUUAGGGUCAUUGCAUGGCUAAGGGUCAGCAAGCAGCAAACCCAGCGGUACUGACGUUUCCUUACUCACAGGAAGAUUUUGUUGCAAUGGAUUUUGGAGCAAGAGAGCUGUUACUUGGCUGCUCAAAUUUUUAAAUGGGAUUUGGGGGAAUUCAAGAGAAAUAUCUGUAAUCAGCAGCGUGGGAUGACUUCUAUUUCCUCAACCUUUUUAGAGACCAGUGAAGCCCUUGGAUUAAAAUGAUGUAUCAAUGAAGAUCGUGUUUGAGGAAGCUAAAAUAAUUUAAACAUUCUAAUAUUGAAAGAUGCAUCUAAUGCCUCCUGUCCCUUUAGUUUUGUCAAACAUUCUGUCCACAGGCUUUGACAUUGGGAUAUUUAUGUGGAGUGUAUGCUGUCUGUAUGUAGCAUGGCAACGAAGCAUAAUGAUAAAGAGAAAAAUAUGGUAGAGCUAGACCCCACUGCCUAACUAUGUGUACUCUCUGAGCCCAUUGCUGGCUCAAAAUUGUAGCUGAUAAUGAGAAGCCAAAGCUCUUGGGUUCAGACUCCAUCUUAGAGAACCUGCCCUAAGGUUGAAUUCAGUAGCACCAGUUUCCAGGCUACUGCCCAAUAAGACCUGUGUCUACCAGUUUCCAGUCUAUUCCCCCCAAAUAAAUAUGCACCCCCAGAUUACAGGCCCACCCCUGACUCUUCACUUCCUAUCAAUCACCAAUCAGGAAAAAAAUCAGGUUUAUGGUUUGGCUCCCAGCAUCAGCCAGUUAUGUUAAAGCCCAUAAUGGUCCCCCAGUCAGAUGUGUACCAGGCUACAUACUCCCUUCUUGCCUCUAUAAAUGUUUGCCUAAAACUAGGCUCAGGACUACACCUUUCUGCUGUGUCAUGGUUAGUGGGGAGCCCAAGUUCAAGCUUGAAUAAAGAGAUCCUAUUAUGAUUGCAUCA
Molecule: long non-coding RNA, 2969 nt
Organism: Mus caroli (Ryukyu mouse)
Lineage: Eukaryota; Metazoa; Chordata; Mammalia; Rodentia; Muridae
Source: RefSeq, a predicted model, not a curated record